UAUCUCUGUAGAGUCUGCAUAUCAAUAAGCGGAGGAAAAGAAACUAACAAGGAUUCCCUUAGUAACGGCGAGUGAAGCGGGAAGAGCUCAAAUUUGAAAUCUUCAAGGUUUUACCUUGACGAAUUGUAGUUUAAAGAAGUGUUUUCUGUUGAAGUUUCGGUAAAAGUUCUUUGGAAUAGGACAUCAUAGAGGGUGAGAAUCCCGUAUUUGACCGUUAUUUUCAGCUGUGUGAUACACUUUCAAAGAGUCGGAUUGUUUGGGAAUGCAGUCCAAAAUGGGUGGUAAAUUUCAUCUAAAGCUAAAUAUUGGCGAGAGACCGAUAGCGAACAAGUACCGUGAGGGAAAGAUGAAAAGAACUUUGAAAAGAGAGUUAAACAGUACGUGAGAUUGUCAAAAGGGAAGCGUUUGACACCAGUGUUGUUUUCUCGAAAAUCAAUUAAAAAUGACUUUGAUUUUGUGUUGUAUUGACCUUAAAAGCUUUCUUCACUUUUUUCUUGUUAUUUUUAAUGCACUUUUCGUUUAACAAGUCAACAUCAGUUUCUUUUGUUGUAAAAAGGUCAUUGGAAGGUGGCUUUCUUUUCGGAGAAAGUGUUUAUAGCCUUUGACUCCUGCAAUCGGAGAGACUGAGGUCUGCAGCGUAGAUCCUUUUUUGGAUUAGAUUCAUUUGUGCUAAGUUAUAGCUUUUUAUAGACAACAUGUUGACUAUAUUUAGUCUUGUAGCUUACUCGCUUAUGUAAUUUUACCUACGCUUAGGAUGUUGAACGCGCACAGAGUCUC
RNAcentral lists this ribosomal RNA (777 nucleotides) under uncultured Neocallimastigales. RNAcentral's name for it is "partial large subunit ribosomal RNA". It matches the Rfam family "Eukaryotic large subunit ribosomal RNA", at positions 24 to 611 of the family's 3401-position model. Lineage: Eukaryota; Fungi; Neocallimastigomycota; Neocallimastigomycetes; Neocallimastigales. The record is from RNAcentral.